CGUGUAGGCGGCUUGGUAAGUCGAGUGUGAAAUCCCAGGGCUCAACCCUGGAACUGCACCCGAAACUGCCUCGCUAGAGUCCCGGAGAGGGUGGCGGAAUUUCCGGUGUAGAGGUGAAAUUCGUAGAUAUCGGAAGGAACACCAGUGGCGAAGGCGGCCACCUGGACGGUGACUGACGCUGAGACGCGAAAGCGUGGGGAGCAAACA
Molecule: ribosomal RNA, 207 nt
Filed under: uncultured bacterium
Lineage: Bacteria
Description: partial 16S ribosomal RNA
Rfam family: Bacterial small subunit ribosomal RNA
Source: RNAcentral